GAUGAACGCUGGCGGUGUGCCUUAAGCAUGCAAGUCGAACGGGUUUGGAGCAAUCCAGACCAGUGGCAGACGGGUGAGUAACGCGUAGGAAUCUACCUUGAAAUGGGGAAUAGCCCCGCGAAAGCGGGGGUAAUACCGCAUGAUAUCGCAAGAUCAAAGGCCUUAACUGGCCGUUUCAAGAGGAGCCUGCGUCCUAUCAGCUAGUUGGUGAGAUAACAGCCCACCAAGGCGAUGACGGGUAGGGGGUGUGAGAGCACGGCCCCCCACAAAGUCACUGAGACAAGGGACUUACUCCUACGGGUGGCUG
RNAcentral lists this ribosomal RNA (307 nucleotides) under uncultured Microgenomates group bacterium. RNAcentral's name for it is "bacterial SSU rRNA". It matches the Rfam family "Bacterial small subunit ribosomal RNA", at positions 28 to 351 of the family's 1533-position model. The record is from RNAcentral.